Pelodiscus sinensis (Chinese soft-shelled turtle) is the source of this 1401-nucleotide non-coding RNA. Lineage: Eukaryota; Metazoa; Chordata; Testudines; Trionychidae. The record is from RefSeq and is a predicted model, not a curated record.
AAGGCGCGAAACCGGCUCGAGCAUGCGCGGUCCGGCCGAACACAGCUCUGGCAAGCUCCGAUUCGUGGCGCCGGGACCAGCCCGACACCAGACGUGGAGCACCCAUGGGGACUACCCGAAGAAGAAGACUGCGUUGGCCACUGCUAUUUAUCAUGCGUUUGCUCUUGCUUCUUUAUGUUAUAAUAUAUAACAUAUAAUAUAUAAUUUUUUUUUAAAUGAAGCACAAGCCCAAGGGCCCACCGCCUGCGAAGCUGGUGGUAUACUGUCCCUCUGGAGCUGUGCAGUAGCUAUUUACAACAAUAAAACCAGAAAAAAAAAUUUAAACUAUUACGAACUAAAGUGAUGAAAGUUAUUUUUUAAAACUAAUUAUAACCUAAACCCUAUCUACAGAGAACUGAAGAGGAGGAGAGGUAUUGAGCUCCAUCUGCGACUGAGGGCAGUAACGAAGGAACUAAGAGGAGUCAGGCCGCAUGCACGAACUCCAAAGACAAAGGGAUUGGAAGACAUGCCUGAGGACGAAUGUUCGAGUUCAGCGUGCACUUUGAGAAGGCUGUUGGCCAGAAUGGAAGAUGGUGGGGCUGGAAAAACUUGUGAGAUGACGGCGACGUUGGAAUAGGGGAGAACUUUUCUCAGCCAUCAACCUGUUCAAAUUGCUUGCUGGGCUGCUAUGCUUGUUUGGUGUUACUAGAAGAUAUACGCUGUGAAGACAAUGCUUUGCCUUUGGAUCUUCUGUAAGAGCAUAGGAAAAGCCGCUGAGAUCGUCGAAAUGGGCGAGUCCAUUCCAGAUAAAAGGCAAACGCCCUGCGAACAUCUAAGUUGAGGAGAAGCGAGUUGCUCCACCUGUUACCGUUGAACGGUAAGGAGGAACUGGCGGGAAGCCGGACUGCGCGCAAGCUAGCAACCAGCACAAACAGCACGCACCCCACACAUGCAUGGUCCGGCUGGACCACGUCUGACGACUCUCCGACCUGCGGCGCCGGGACGAGCCCAACACCUCAAGCGGAGCACCCAUGGGGACACCACUGAAGAAAGUUGUUGUUAUACACUGCACACAGCAUCCUGUGUCCGGCUUUUAACACUUCUUAGAUCAUGGGUACUUGAGAUCUAGACAGUGUUCAGUAUUAUUUAAUCAGGUCAGUGACAGAAUAUCAGCACAGAGAUGCGUAGUUUUGAAUUUAAAAAUCUCACAAAAUCUCUUUCUGUUGAUGUAUAGACCCUGGAUCCAAAGUAAUAUAAGAGGUGACUGAGGCCUCAAAAAGAUAGUUGUUCACUUUAUAAACACUCCCGGUUAGCUACAUCACAGAAGGUGGCUGAACUAUGUCAGCUGACUCAGGCUAAUGGGACUUACAAGAUGGAGCCUGAGUUCUGGGACACUCUCUACUCACAGGAUAUUAGAGGCUG